RNAcentral lists this long non-coding RNA (419 nucleotides) under Danio rerio (zebrafish). RNAcentral describes it as "lncRNA (ENSDARG00000117292.1)". The record is from RNAcentral. Lineage: Eukaryota; Metazoa; Chordata; Actinopteri; Cypriniformes; Danionidae.
AUUAAACAUGACACCAAGAGGAAAUGUUACUUCCUGUUAUUUAAACUUCACCUGACCUUUUCUAAUACUCAAGCAAGUAGUCCUUUAAGACAGGUUAUUAUAUUUGGUCAAAGGAGGUCAUUUUCCCCACAGCGGGAUCCAGGAUUUACGUCUGAACUGAUCUGCGAUGAAACAGAAAAUGGUGGAAUUUAUUAUGAAAUUAGUCUGCUCAGUUUCUAAAAACAGCAGCCUGGUGUUUUAUCGCAUCAAGUGGCUCUCAGGAUGUCAAACAUGAGUCUUACUGGACAUGAACCUCUGAGAGCUCAAAACCCUUCACAUUUGAACUUCACCUUGUCAGCGUUGGUCAAUACAAUGUUCGGUGAGUGCAGUGAAGAGGAGGAGAGUAAUUACUGACUGGAAAGGUCAAGCACAUCCAGUAC